GGUGGCUCAGUGGUAGAGCACUUGCCUUCCAUGCAUGAGGUCCUGGGUUCGAUUCCUCAGCACCA
RNAcentral lists this transfer RNA (65 nucleotides) under Dipodomys ordii (Ord's kangaroo rat). It matches the Rfam family "tRNA". Rfam says of the family: Transfer RNA (tRNA) molecules are approximately 80 nucleotides in length. Their secondary structure includes four short double-helical elements and three loops (D, anti-codon, and T loops). The record is from Rfam by way of RNAcentral. Lineage: Eukaryota; Metazoa; Chordata; Mammalia; Rodentia; Heteromyidae.